This 93-nucleotide non-coding RNA is filed under the name uncultured Exiguobacterium sp. RNAcentral describes it as "Purine riboswitch". It matches the Rfam family "Purine riboswitch aptamer". From Rfam's summary of the family: Riboswitches are metabolite binding domains within certain messenger RNAs that serve as precision sensors for their corresponding targets. Allosteric rearrangement of mRNA structure is mediated by ligand binding, and this results in modulation of gene expression. A class of riboswitches that selectively recognises guanine and becomes saturated at concentrations as low as 5 nM. Lineage: Bacteria; Bacillati; Bacillota; Bacilli; Caryophanales. The record is from RNAcentral.
ACAAAUUAAAUAGUGCUCCAUAUAAUCGCGAGGAAAUGGCUCGCAAGUUUCUACCUGAUCGCCGACUCUGAUCAGACUAUGGGUAUAGUCGAC